Molecule: long non-coding RNA, 811 nt
Filed under: Salmo trutta (river trout)
Lineage: Eukaryota; Metazoa; Chordata; Actinopteri; Salmoniformes; Salmonidae
Description: lncRNA (ENSSTUG00000049419.1)
Source: RNAcentral
AAACUAGGUAUAGGGAAUUGCAAUGUGUAUCAAACAAACCGAGCCUUUGUCCUUCUUCGUCCAAGUUUAACUUUGAUCUCCAGCACGAUAAGUACUGGACUGCAGACCAAACUGUACACAGGACUCAUACAGGUGGUCGAGGCGAGCUCGGGAAGCAGAGACAGUGGAUCAGAGAAGUUGUGAACAGCCUUCCGGAUGGCCUUCUGUCAAAAUCGACUGACAUCCGCCAUGGCUGCAUAUCUGGGCAUAUUUAUUUUAGGUGAGUGGAAGUUUCAGUUUUAUCCUGCUCUCUGUUAACACUGUAUUACAGUAGGUCUCUGAGGUGAUGUAUAAUCUAUCUUGGUGGCAGAUGAACAACACAUCGCAGACAAUAUAGAUGUAGGAUCUUAAUUAGAGCCAGUUUGCUACAGCAGGAAAAUAAUCCUGCAGCAACAGGAAAUGUAAAUGAUUAUGUGGAUUAUGAGCAUUAUGGACAUUUUUGUAAGGGUUGGUACGUUUGUCGUAAUUUCAAAGUGGAAAUUGCCAACUUCAGAAGCCUUCGUAGCCCUUUCCUGCAGUCAAAUGACCUAGUGGCUUCAUGGGUGGAAUGUUAUUAAUAUUUAUCAUAAUUUCAUAAUUAUUAAACAAUCUUUUUCAAAUCUGGUGUUUCUAUGUCAGCACGGGUUUCUUAUUUCAGUCUUCUGUGAUCUAUAUAAAGUGUAAUAUUGGGAUGCAAACUCAAAAUGUAAUACAUUACAACUCUAUAUCUGACAUGGUACAGGUGUCUUAUACGCAUAACCAUGUGUGUGAGGUGUAUACUUUUGUUUCAAAG